AUUGAACGCUGGCGGCAUGCCUUACACAUGCAAGUCGAAUGGCAGCACGGGAGCAAUCCUGGUGGCGAGUGGCGAACGGGUGAGUAAAGUAUCGGAACGUGCCCGGUCGUGGGGGAUAACGUAGCGAAAGUUACGCUAAUACCGCAUACGAUCUAUGGAUGAAAGCGGGGGAUCGCAAGACCUCGCGCGAUUGGAGCGGCCGAUAUCAGAUUAGGUAGUUGGUGGGGUAAAGGCUCACCAAGCCGACGAUCUGUAGCUGGUCUGAGAGGACGACCAGCCACACUGGGACUGAGACACGGCCCAGACUCCUACGGGAGGCAGCAGUGGGGAAUUUUGGACAAUGGGCGAAAGCCUGAUCCAGCCAUGCCGCGUGCAGGAUGAAGGCCUUCGGGUUGUAAACUGCUUUUGUACGGAACGAAAAGGUUUGGGCUAAUAAGCUGAACUCAUGACGGUACCGUAAGAAUAAGCACCGGCUAACUACGUGCCAGCCGCCGCCGUAA
This 500-nucleotide ribosomal RNA is filed under the name uncultured bacterium. Its description in RNAcentral is "partial 16S ribosomal RNA". It matches the Rfam family "Bacterial small subunit ribosomal RNA", at positions 30 to 523 of the family's 1533-position model. The record is from RNAcentral.